UGCGUAGGCGGUUGAUUAAGUCAGUUGUGAAAUACGGCAGCUUAACUGUCGAGGUGCAAUUGAUACUGGUUGACUUGAGUACAGACGAGGUAGGCGGAAUUGACGGUGUAGCGGUGAAAUGCAUAGAUAUCGUCAAGAACACCGAUAGCGAAGGCAGCUUACUAGACUGUAACUGACGCUGAGGCACGAAAGUGUGGGGAUCAAACAGGAUUAGAUACCCUGGUAGUCCACACUGUAAACGAUGAUUACUCGAUGUUGGCGAUACACAGCCAGCGUCUUAGCAAAAGCGAUAAGUAAUCCACCUGGGGAGUACGCCGGCAACGGUGAA
This 328-nucleotide ribosomal RNA is filed under the name uncultured bacterium. RNAcentral describes it as "bacterial SSU rRNA". It matches the Rfam family "Bacterial small subunit ribosomal RNA", at positions 568 to 898 of the family's 1533-position model. The record is from RNAcentral.